RNAcentral lists this non-coding RNA (209 nucleotides) under Lactobacillus sp. RNAcentral describes it as "T-box sequence". It matches the Rfam family "T-box leader". Rfam says of the family: Uncharged tRNA acts as the effector for transcription antitermination of genes in the T-box leader family. Lineage: Bacteria; Bacillati; Bacillota; Bacilli; Lactobacillales; Lactobacillaceae. The record is from RNAcentral.
UUGAGAAUAUACAUCUGGAUUAAUAGUAAUCUGAUCAAUUGCAGAGAACUUGUUGUUAGCUGAAAUACAAGUAUUGACAUCAAUUACGAACCUACUAGAUGAUUUUUACCAUUGCAAUGAUGGUACGCGUUUCAGCGUUAUCGAUUUGAGUGAAUCUUUAUAUUAAGAUUAAUUAAGGUGGUACCACGGAAAACUGUUUCGUCCUUUUA